UACAGAGGUCUCAAGCGUUGUUCGGAUUCAUUGGGCGUAAAGGGUGCGUAGGUGGCGCUGUAAGUCGGGUGUGAAAUUUCGGAGCUUAACUCCGAAACUGCAUUCGAUACUGCGGUGCUUGAGGACUGGAGAGGAGACUGGAAUUCAUGGUGUAGCAGUGAAAUGCGUAGAGAUCAUGAGGAAGACCAGUGGCGAAGGCGGCUCACUGGACUGGUAUUGACGCUGAGGUGCGAAAGCGUGGGGAGCAAACAGG
RNAcentral lists this ribosomal RNA (253 nucleotides) under uncultured bacterium. RNAcentral's name for it is "partial 16S ribosomal RNA". It matches the Rfam family "Bacterial small subunit ribosomal RNA", at positions 524 to 776 of the family's 1533-position model. The record is from RNAcentral.